RNAcentral lists this ribosomal RNA (351 nucleotides) under uncultured bacterium. RNAcentral describes it as "bacterial SSU rRNA". It matches the Rfam family "Bacterial small subunit ribosomal RNA", at positions 8 to 350 of the family's 1533-position model. The record is from RNAcentral.
AGAGUUUGAUCAUGGCUCAGGAUGAACGCUAGCUACAGGCUUAACACAUGCAAGUCGAUGGGAAACGACAUCGAAAGCUUGCUUUUGAUGGGCGUCGACCGGCGCACGGGUGAGUAACGCGUAUCCAACCUGCCCAUCACUUGGGGAUAACCUUGCGAAAGUAAGACUAAUACCCAAUGAUAUCUCUAGAAGACAUCUGAAAGAGAUUAAAGAUUUAUCGGUGAUGGAUGGGGAUGCGUCUGAUUAGCUUGUUGGGCGGGUAACGGCCACAAGGCUACGAUCAGUAGGGGUUCUGAGAGGAAGGUCCCCCACAUUGGAACUGAGGCACGGUCCAAACUCCUACGGGAGGCA